UAGUUUUACAGUUUCUGUUUUUCGUAUACAAUCAAGUUGAAAUGUUGUUUGUUUGUAUCAUUGUAUGUAGGGAUGGAAGAAGUUUCAUCUAGUCCUAUUGAAGGAUCUAGUAAUCCAUCUUCUAAAGAACAAGAGCCAAUCCUUAGUCACUACAUUUUACAUAAUACUAAUGUAGCAUAAUUAUAAUUUCUAGAUGUUACCAAGGGUAGUCUUGAAUGUGCACCUAUCUAUGAUGAUGAAGAUGUAGAAGCUAUGGAAGAAUGAAAAAGGUUUGUGUUGGCCAUGGUUGAUUAAAGUUGAGGAUUGAAGACUUGGAUGAAGAUGUUUACUUUCCAUGGAAAGUAGAAGAAAAAUUAAUGUAAUUAAUUGAUUAGUUUUCAUGGGAUGAAGAUUGUUAUUGUUGUAUGGACCAUAGGUUGAUUUGGAAGAAAUUGAGAACUUUAUGUUUAAUGGACCUUUCUUUUUAAUCAUGUAUUUGUCUAUUUGAUUUUAUAUGCUUAGUUAAACUUAAAUUAUUGUCAUAUGAAGAUAUGAUUGUUACUUGUUAGUAAUGAUUACAUUUUUUGUAUUAUACAAUUUUUUUUAU
Molecule: long non-coding RNA, 586 nt
Organism: Beta vulgaris subsp. vulgaris (sugar beet)
Lineage: Eukaryota; Viridiplantae; Streptophyta; Magnoliopsida; Caryophyllales; Amaranthaceae
Exons: 2
Source: RefSeq, a predicted model, not a curated record